CUUAAAUAAGAGAUCUCUGAAACUGCCCAAGAAGGGGAGAGGAGCCCAUGACCCCCAAUUUCACUAAUUAGUGACACAUGUUGGUCAGGUACCAGAAGAAUCUAUAGACCUCAGCCUUCUCAUCUGCAGAGAAGUGUUAUACCACUAAAAUUCAACACUUUUAACACAAAAAGUGUUCAUAUGCGUACACACUUCCUCUCUCUCAAUAUAUAUGUGUGUAUACACACACACACACACAAUGUUCUGUGUAAGAUGAAGAUGAGAAGAACAACUUUCUACUACUGAACUGCAUCCCCAUCUCCACUUAAACUUCUCAGAAUGCCCUCUUUGGUUCGUUCCUGGAAAGCCAGUCUUCCCUUCUGGAAUGAAGAGACCUCCAGGGUGGAAAGCAAAGAGGGUGGGUAGGACUUCUGAACACAGCCACCAUCCAAGUCCACUCAUGGUCACAUGAUUCAUUAGGAUCCUUAAUCCUCAUGAGAGCACUAGCAUCAGACCCUCUGACCCUGCCAGUGAAACCCCAUAAAACCAACCAAGAGGCUGGCCAACAUAUGCACACAUUAAUUAGAGUGACACAAGUUGUUGGCUUCUAGUCUGAUCAACAGAUCCAGGGCUGCAGGGGGCAGAGGAUCCCUUCCACCUGUCAAAUACCCUUUGGUCACACAAAGGCAUCAGUUGAACACAGUAGCUGAUCUGAAAGCUAACCCUCUUUGGAGAGUAGCUUAACCUCAGUAACUAAGGCUGAACUCUGGCAGUGAGUCCCUAAAAGAGACAGGCAGAAAUCUACUCAAGAGAGGAAACAAGAAUAAACUUUUAGCUUUGCUGUUAUUACUACAUCUAGUAUUAUGAAACAGGGGUGCGGGAGAAGCCCAAAAUGAAAGAAGAAAACUUUGAGGUAUUAAUGGAAGGCAU
This 909-nucleotide long non-coding RNA is filed under the name Marmota monax (woodchuck). The record is from RNAcentral. Lineage: Eukaryota; Metazoa; Chordata; Mammalia; Rodentia; Sciuridae.